This 440-nucleotide ribosomal RNA is filed under the name uncultured bacterium. RNAcentral describes it as "bacterial SSU rRNA". It matches the Rfam family "Bacterial small subunit ribosomal RNA", at positions 338 to 795 of the family's 1533-position model. The record is from RNAcentral.
CCUACGGGAGGCAGCAGUGGGGAAUCUUGGACAAUGGGGGCAACCCUGAUCCAGCGACGCCGCGUGGGUGAUGAAGGCCUUCGGGUCGUAAAGCCCUUUUGCCGGGGAAGAUGAUGACGGUACCCGGAGAAGAAGCACCGGCUAACUCUGUGCCAGCAGCCGCGGUAAGACAGAGGGUGCUAGCGUUGUUCGGAAUUACUGGGCGUAAAGGGCGCGUAGGCGGCCAUGUAAGUCGGGUGUGAAAUCCCGGGGCUCAACCCCGGAACUGCAUUCGAUACUGUGUGGCUUGAGACCGGAAGAGGUGGGUGGAAUACCCAGUGUAGAGGUGAAAUUCGUAGAUAUUGGGUGGAACACCGGUGGCGAAGGCGGCUCACUGGUCCGGUUCUGACGCUGAGGCGCGAAAGCGUGGGGAGCAAACAGGAUUAGAUACCCUGGUAGUC